UACGUAGGGGGCAAGCGUUAUCCGGAUUUACUGGGUGUAAAGGGAGCGCAGACGGCGGUGCAAGCCAGAUGUGAAAGCCCGGGGCUCAACCCCGGGACUGCAUUUGGAACUGUGCUGCUAGAGUGUCGGAGAGGCAGGCGGAAUUCCUAGUGUAGCGGUGAAAUGCGUAGAUAUUAGGAGGAACACCAGUGGCGAAGGCGGCCUGCUGGACGAUGACUGACGUUGAGGCUCGAAAGCGUGGGGAGCAAACAGG
This 253-nucleotide ribosomal RNA is filed under the name uncultured bacterium. Its description in RNAcentral is "partial 16S ribosomal RNA". It matches the Rfam family "Bacterial small subunit ribosomal RNA", at positions 524 to 776 of the family's 1533-position model. The record is from RNAcentral.